CCUACGGGAGGCAGCAGUGAGGAAUAUUGGUCAAUGGACGAGAGUCUGAACCAGCCAAGUAGCGUGAAGGAUGACUGCCCUAGGGGUUGUAAACUUCUUUUAUAUGGGAAUAAAAUGUUCCACGUGUCGGAUUUUGUAUGUACCAUCUGAAUCAGGAUCGGCUAACUCCGUGCCAGCAGCCGCGGUAAUACGGAGGAUCCGAGCGUUAUCCGGAUUUAUUGGGUUUAAAGGGAGCGUAGGUGGCUUGUUAAGUCAGGUGUGAAAGUUUGCGGCUCAACCGUAAAAUUGCAGUUGAAACUGGCAGUCUUGAGUACAGUAGAGGUGGGCGGAAUUCGUGGUGUAGCGGUGAAAUGCUUAGAUAUCACGAAGAACUCCGAUUGCGAAGGCAGUUCACUGGACUGCAACUGACACUGAGGCUCGAAAGUGUGGGUAGCAAACAGGAUUAGAUACCCUUGUAGUC
RNAcentral lists this ribosomal RNA (460 nucleotides) under uncultured bacterium. Its description in RNAcentral is "partial 16S ribosomal RNA". It matches the Rfam family "Bacterial small subunit ribosomal RNA", at positions 338 to 795 of the family's 1533-position model. The record is from RNAcentral.